UACAGAGGUCCCGAGCGUUGUUCGGAUUUAUUGGGCGUAAAGAGCGUGUAGGCGGCCAAACAGGUCAGCUGUGAAAACUCGAGGCUCAACCUCGAGACGUCGGUUGAAACCGUUUGGCUAGAGUCCGGAAGAGGAGAGUGGAAUUCCCGGUGUAGCGGUGAAAUGCGCAGAUAUCGGGAGGAACACCAGUGGCGAAGGCGGCGACCUGGACGGACACUGACGCUGAGACGCGAAAGCGUGGGGAGCAAACAGG
Molecule: ribosomal RNA, 253 nt
Filed under: uncultured bacterium
Lineage: Bacteria
Description: partial 16S ribosomal RNA
Rfam family: Bacterial small subunit ribosomal RNA
Source: RNAcentral